This 429-nucleotide ribosomal RNA is filed under the name uncultured bacterium. Its description in RNAcentral is "bacterial SSU rRNA". It matches the Rfam family "Bacterial small subunit ribosomal RNA", at positions 355 to 775 of the family's 1533-position model. The record is from RNAcentral.
UGGGGAAUUUUCCGCAAUGGGCGAAAGCCUGACGGAGUGACGCCGCGUGGGGGACGAAGGCCUUCGGGUUGUAAACCCCUGUCAGAGGGAAAGAAGGGUCAUGUGGCUAAUAUCCACGUGACUUGACGGUACCUUCAGAGGAAGCCCCGGCCAACUCUGUGCCAGCAGCCGCGGUAAGACAGAGGGGGCAAGCGUUGCUCGGAAUCACUGGGCGUAAAGGGCGCGUAGGCGGGAUGGCAAGUCAGUCGUGAAAUCUCUCGGCUCAACCGAGAAACGUCGGCUGAUACUGCCGUUCUUGAGGGAUGCAGAGGAGACUGGAAUUCCCGGUGUAGCGGUGAAAUGUGUAGAGAUCGGGAGGAACACCGGUGGCGAAGGCGGGUCUCUGGGCAUUUCCUGACGCUGAGGCGCGAAAGCGUGGGGAGCAAACGG